GACGAACGCUGGCGGCGUGCUUAACACAUGCAAGUCGAACGGAAAGGCCCUGCUUUUGUGGGGUGCUCGAGUGGCGAACGGGUGAGUAACACGUGAGUAACCUGCCCUUGACUUUGGGAUAACUUCAGGAAACUGGGGCUAAUACCGGAUAGGAGCUCCUGCUGCAUGGUGGGGGUUGGAAAGUUUCGGCGGUUGGGGAUGGACUCGCGGCUUAUCAGCUUGUUGGUGGGGUAGUGGCUUACCAAGGCUUUGACGGGUAGCCGGCCUGAGAGGGUGACCGGCCACAUUGGGACUGAGAUACGGCCCAGACUCCUACGGGAGGCAGCAGUGGGGAAUAUUGCACAAUGGGCGGAAGCCUGAUGCAGUAACGCCGCGUGCGGGAUGACGGCCUUCGGGUUGUAAACCGCUUUCGCCUGUGACGAAGCGUGAGUGACGGCAAUGGGUAAAGAAGCACCGGCUAACUACGUG
This 468-nucleotide ribosomal RNA is filed under the name uncultured bacterium. RNAcentral describes it as "partial 16S ribosomal RNA". It matches the Rfam family "Bacterial small subunit ribosomal RNA", at positions 28 to 507 of the family's 1533-position model. The record is from RNAcentral.